AGUGAACGCUGGCGGUAGGCCUAACACAUGCAAGUCGAACGGCAGCACAGUAAGAGCUUGCUCUUACGGGUGGCGAGUGGCGGACGGGUGAGGAAUACAUCGGAAUCUACUUUUUCGUGGGGGAUAACGUAGGGAAACUUACGCUAAUACCGCAUACGACCUACGGGUGAAAGCAGGGGAUCUUCGGACCUUGCGCGAUUGAAUGAGCCGAUGUCGGAUUAGCUAGUUGGCGGGGUAAAGGCCCACCAAGGCGACGAUCCGUAGCUGGUCUGAGAGGAUGGUCAGCCACACUGGGACGGAGACACGGCCCAGACUCCUAGGGGAGGCAGCAGUGGGGAAUAUUGGACAAUGGGCGCAAGCCUGAUCCAGCCAGACCGCGUGGGGGAAGAAGGCCGUCGGGUUGUAAAGCCCGCUUUGUUGGGAAAGAAAAGCAGCAGGUUAAUACCCCGCUGUUCUGACGGUACCCAAAGAAUAAGCACCGGCUAACUUCGUG
This 493-nucleotide ribosomal RNA is filed under the name uncultured bacterium. Its description in RNAcentral is "partial 16S ribosomal RNA". It matches the Rfam family "Bacterial small subunit ribosomal RNA", at positions 29 to 507 of the family's 1533-position model. The record is from RNAcentral.